Schistosoma mattheei is the source of this 45-nucleotide non-coding RNA. Lineage: Eukaryota; Metazoa; Platyhelminthes; Trematoda; Strigeidida; Schistosomatidae. The record is from Rfam.
AUCCAGCUAACGAGUCCCAAGUAGGACUAAACGCGCGUCCUAGAU